RNAcentral lists this ribosomal RNA (253 nucleotides) under uncultured bacterium. RNAcentral describes it as "partial 16S ribosomal RNA". It matches the Rfam family "Bacterial small subunit ribosomal RNA", at positions 524 to 776 of the family's 1533-position model. The record is from RNAcentral.
UACAGAGGUCUCAAGCGUUGCUCGGAAUCACUGGGCGUAAAGCGCACGUAGGCGGAUUGCUAAGUCAGGGGUGAAAUCCUGGAGCUCAACUCCAGAACUGCCUUUGAUACUGGCGACCUUGAGUCCGGGAGAGGUGAGUGGAACUGCGAGUGUAGAGGUGAAAUUCGUAGAUAUUCGGAAGAACACCAGUGGCGAAGGCGGCUCACUGGUCCGGUACUGACGCUGAGGUGCGAAAGCGUGGGGAGCAAACAGG